Molecule: ribosomal RNA, 153 nt
Filed under: uncultured bacterium
Lineage: Bacteria
Description: partial 16S ribosomal RNA
Source: RNAcentral
CUUAUUCUCGGUAAUGCAAAGGGGGACACGUCCCCCACUUUAUUCCCGUGUAAAAGAAGUUUACAAUCCAUAAGACCUUCAUCCUUCACGCGACUUGGCUGGUUCAGGGUUGCCCCCAUUGACCAAUAUUCCUCACUGCUGCCUCCCGUAGGA